Molecule: unclassified non-coding RNA, 355 nt
Filed under: soil metagenome
Description: partial contains 5.8S ribosomal RNA, internal transcribed spacer 2, and large subunit ribosomal RNA
Rfam family: 5.8S ribosomal RNA (bases 1-120)
Source: RNAcentral
GAUGAAGAACGUAGCGAAAUGCGAUAAGUAAUGCGAAUUGCAGAAUUCAGUGAAUCAUCGAAUCUUUGAACGCACAUUGCGCCCGCUAGUAUUCUGGCGGGCAUGCCUGUCUGAGCGUCAUUUCAACCCUCGCCCCCGGCUUUUGCUGGGAGCGGUGUUGGGGAUCGGCCGCCCGUCACUGGGAGGCCGGCCCCGAAAUAGAGUGGCGACCACGCCGUGUGCUCCUCUGCGUAGUAGUAAAUCACCUCGCAGGCGGACAGCGGCGCGGCCUGCCGUAAAACCCCCAACUCUUUCUGGUUGACCUCAGAUCAGGUAGGAAUACCCGCUGAACUUAAGCAUAUCAAUAAGCGGAGGA